This 484-nucleotide ribosomal RNA is filed under the name uncultured bacterium. Its description in RNAcentral is "partial 16S ribosomal RNA". It matches the Rfam family "Bacterial small subunit ribosomal RNA", at positions 30 to 507 of the family's 1533-position model. The record is from RNAcentral.
AUUGAACGCUGGCGGCAGGCCUAACACAUGCAAGUCGAGCGGAUGAAGGGAGCUUGCUCCUGGAUUCAGCGUCGGGCGGGUGAGUAAUGCCUAGGAAUCUGCCUGGUGGUGGGGGAUAACGUCCGGAGACGGGCGCUAAUACAGCAUACGCCCUGAGGGGGAAAGAGGGGGGUAUUCGGACCUCACGCUCUCUGAUGAUCCUAGGUCGGAUUAGCUAGUUGGUGGGGUAAAGGCCUACCAAGGCGACGAUCCGUAACUGGUCUGAGAGGAUGAUCAGUCACACUGGAACUGAGACACGGUCCAGACUCCUACGGGAGGCAGCAGUGGGGAAUUUUGGACAAUGGGCGAAAGCCUGAUCCAGCCAUGCCGCGUGUGUGAAGAAGGUCUUCGGAUUGUAAAGCACUUUAAGUUGGGAGGAAGGGCAGUAAGUUAAUACCUUGCUGUUUUGACGUUACCAACAGAAUAAGCACCGGCUAACUUCGUG